Long non-coding RNA from Cyprinus carpio carpio, 745 nucleotides. NCBI's taxonomy places the organism in Eukaryota, Metazoa, Chordata, Actinopteri, Cypriniformes, Cyprinidae. The record is from Ensembl.
GGAGACUGCUUUCUCAGUAAGGCUUGGAAACUGUUUUUCCUUCGGCUCUGAGGUGGAGAGAGCUGAAGAGCAGUGAGUGGAAGACCUCACCUAGCUGCCAGGCAUCAGUGAGAAGGGAGUUUGAAAAUUAAGGGAGUUGAGGGAGGGAGAGCUGUCAAUCUCAUCCCAACCUGCUCCAGCCAGCUGGGAUAAAGCCAAGGUUAUGGUGGAAGUGUCAACAAAAACCCAGCAGACUAUGUCCAACUCUAUGAAGGUUUCUGCAAUGUUGAGAAGAUGCCAAAUCUACUUGCCAACCCUCGUCUUAUUCUGUGUGGGAGGUCUGCACCUAAGAUUUCUGACUACAAUAGCAACAGUGUUCACAAUGUACUACGUCUUUAACCUUCAGUAUCCAGAGGAGGCAUGUGGCACAUUGGAAUUCAUUCAAAGACGAUUCAUCUGGAUAAACCCUGAAAAAGGCACGAAGCCAGGCAGAGGCAAGGUUGAUUUGAAGAAUACUGGAAAGACUGUGAAUAACAAGUCUGCUACUGUCAUCCCCAAAGUUGUGUCCCUCCUAAAGAACCUCAUCGAUUUCAAAUGGGAUUUUGUCUAGACCCGAAUGUCCUCUCAGGCCAGAGCCAUCAGAAGCUGGAGUGAGAUGUUUUUGCCUCUUCAUAAGGUUUUUUUAAGCUAUUGGUUUGGUUAAUGUGUUCCUCUCAGACUUGCACCCAUGCCAGAAUCAGGGGUGUUUUUUUUUUUUUUUUUUUUU